RNAcentral lists this signal recognition particle RNA (182 nucleotides) under Nelumbo nucifera (sacred lotus). RNAcentral describes it as "Plant signal recognition particle RNA". It matches the Rfam family "Plant signal recognition particle RNA", at positions 80 to 262 of the family's 305-position model. The record is from Rfam by way of RNAcentral. Lineage: Eukaryota; Viridiplantae; Streptophyta; Magnoliopsida; Proteales; Nelumbonaceae.
AUCAGGCCGAGUAAUUUUCCGAUACGCCCGUUCCAAGUCGGGAGUUGAGCCAUGGAGCUUGAGCGAAGGCUUGGGCUUCAGGGUUCUUAGAGUGGAGGGCACCGCGUUAGGCUGGUUUCACAGARCAGCGACAACCUCCCACUCCCGCCGGUGGAAGGAUAACGAGUCGGUUCUCCCCUGAU